GAUGAACGCUGGCGGCGUGCCUAAUACAUGCAAGUCGAGCGAACAGACGAGGAGCUUGCUCCUCUGACGUUAGCGGCGGACGGGUGAGUAACACGUGGAUAACCUACCUAUAAGACUGCGAUAACUUCGGGAAACCGGAGCUAAUACCGGAUAACAUGUUGAACCGCAUGGUUCAACAGUGAAAGACGGUCUUGCUGUCACUUAUAGAUGGAUCCGCGCCGCAUUAGCUAGUUGGUAAGGUAACGGCUUACCAAGGCAACGAUGCGUAGCCGACCUGAGAGGGUGAUCGGCCACACUGGAACUGAGACACGGUCCAGACUCCUACGGGAGGCAGCAGUAGGGAAUCUUCCGCAAUGGGCGAAAGCCUGACGGAGCAACGCCGCGUGAGUGAAGAAGGUCUUCGGAUCGUAAAACUCUGUUAUUAGGGAAGAACAAAUGUGUAAGUAACUAUGCACGUCUUGACGGUACCUAAUCAGAAAGCCACGGCUAACUACGUG
RNAcentral lists this ribosomal RNA (497 nucleotides) under uncultured bacterium. RNAcentral's name for it is "partial 16S ribosomal RNA". It matches the Rfam family "Bacterial small subunit ribosomal RNA", at positions 28 to 507 of the family's 1533-position model. The record is from RNAcentral.